GUCUUGUUGGUGCAGUUGGCAGCACAUCAGUCUCAUAAUCUGAAGGUCGUGAGUUCAAACCUCAUAUGAGGCA
Non-coding RNA from Dunckerocampus dactyliophorus (ringed pipefish), 73 nucleotides. The record is from the annotation of a RefSeq genome assembly. Lineage: Eukaryota; Metazoa; Chordata; Actinopteri; Syngnathiformes; Syngnathidae.